UCAAGAAUAUUCCCCAAUGGACGAAAGUCUGAGGGAGCGACGCCGCGUGUAGGAAGAAACCCUUCGGGGCGUAAACUACUUUUCUUAGGGACGAACUUCGGUGACGGUACCUAAGGAAUAAGAGGCUGCUAACUUCGUGCCAGCAGCAGCGGUAAUACGAAGGCCUCAAGCGUUAUCCGGAUUUAUUGGGCGUAAAGCGUUCAACGGCGGUUUGUUAAGUCAGCGGUAAAAUCUUGGGGCUCAACCCUAAGGCCGCCGCUGAAACUGGCAGACUCGAGGGCAGGAGAGGCAGACGGAAUUACCGGUGUAGUAGUAAAAUGCGUUAAUAUCGGUAAGAACACCAAUUGCGAAGGCAGUCUGCUAGAAUGCAUCUGACGCUCAAGAACGAAAGCGUGGGGAG
This 400-nucleotide ribosomal RNA is filed under the name uncultured bacterium. RNAcentral's name for it is "bacterial SSU rRNA". It matches the Rfam family "Bacterial small subunit ribosomal RNA", at positions 355 to 768 of the family's 1533-position model. The record is from RNAcentral.